GUGAGUAGGGAAAAGAAAGCCAUGAGUAUCUUAGAGCAAUGGGCAUGGGAACAUGGAGGAAAGCCUACACUUCUUGGCCUCUAAAUUUAGGGGCCAAAACUGUUUUGUAUUUUCCCGAUGCCUCUCAUGCCUAUUAUUCUUAGAUAUUCCUUCCUUUUCCUAUUUCCU
This 168-nucleotide microRNA precursor is filed under the name Triticum aestivum (bread wheat). RNAcentral's name for it is "MIR2118 microRNA precursor family". It matches the Rfam family "MIR2118 microRNA precursor family". The record is from Rfam by way of RNAcentral. Lineage: Eukaryota; Viridiplantae; Streptophyta; Magnoliopsida; Poales; Poaceae.